UUCGCCUUUCAGUGAGAAUGUACCUCGCCUUUGCUUCUCCCCGUGAUACCUUUACAGUUCUGGUUGUCAGAGUCCACACAUGGCGCAUUCCGACUAGCAGGAACUGGAAAGACUGGGAGGGUGAGGUAUCCUUGCCCACCAAGAGCCAGACUCCACAUUCUUGGCACUUAUUUGCAUCGUGGGUUAAACGUACAGAUGAUUGUUAGGCGAAUGCUCACAAAGGUUUGGAAGAUUCUGUCAAUCUGCGAUCUGUUUUUUGUUUCUUGACAAAAGUUUAUGUCAGCAGAGACGGUGAGGUGUUGGAAGCCUGGAGAAAAACAGAAUCCUACAUUCAACCUACAUUCAAAAAGGGGAAGGAGGAGGAUCAAUGAAAUGGCAGAUAUGGAGGACUUGAUUGCCAGAUCCUGCAACCAAGGACUAUAUUGAAUGCAAACUAAAGAAGCAUAACCCAACAUGACUUGGAAGGCACUAGAUUGGAGGAAGUCAGUUUGUUUUACCCUUAUUGACCACUAUCACCUCCAUCAGAUUUUUCCACUUAGAGAGAAGAUAUGAGUCUUCAUAUUGGUUCCCAGUGGAAAUAUGAGCAAACAGAAUGGGUUAGGUUUGCCUUCUCCCUGUAUCAUUUGUCCACUAAAAUCUAUAACCCAACUCAAAUAUAUCAGCAGGAAUUUCUGGUGUGCUUAACAACUAACCUAGCUUUAAAGGAUUUGCUCUUAUUUUUCAAGAGAUUUUUUUCCAUUUUUAUGUUGCUUUCAGAUGACCAAAAAAGAUCCUAUGUACAGUCACACUGACUUUCAUUUUAUUAUGGAAUCACAUUUUGUCAUUUAUCAUUGUAAUUAAAAGGACUAAAGGAUGCAACCCGGUAUUCAAAAUCAGACCCAUGGUUAGACAUCCUUACUACUCUCCCCCCACCCCCACAUCUAAUGUAUUGACAGAAACAGGUGCAGAGAGUCAGUGUAUUCACUCUUUAAUCCUCCAAGGGCUGGAGGAGCAAGCUCGUAUUACAUUUCACACCGGGGCAAGUAUUAGGAUGGAAGUAUGGAUUCUGACUUUCAGGCAAAAUUUUAAAAUGUCACUUCAUGUCCCCAAAUGUAGGUCAUGAGACCUACGUGAGUACGUUCUUUAUAACACAUUGUUUUUCCCAUUGCCUUAAUUAUUUCUUAGUUCAGUUUAUUUGUGUGUUUAUUUGUUCACCCACUUGCCUGGUAGUUCACCACAGUCAUGGUGAUGAUGGUGGUGAUGAUCAUUUUUUAGAAAAAUAAAAGGAGACUUUGGAAGCA
This is a long non-coding RNA of Crotalus tigris (Tiger rattlesnake), 1280 nucleotides long. RefSeq lists it as uncharacterized. The transcript is spliced from 2 exons. Lineage: Eukaryota; Metazoa; Chordata; Lepidosauria; Squamata; Viperidae. The record is from RefSeq and is a predicted model, not a curated record.